CACUAGGAAAAUGUUUUUCAAUGUUCUCUUCCAGGAAGCCAUUUUUGAGUCCAGAAGAUGCCUGAGAUGUCUUGCUUAUCUAGAGGUCUUGCUGCAGCUUCGGGGUCUGUAUCCGGGGUUGGUCACCUCCUAUCAGCAUUAUAGCAGAUGCCGGUGGUUGAACGAGAGUUUGCUGCAGGAAGAAAGAGGCCCCUGAGGUAGGGAUAAGCAUUUUAAAUCACCUUCCUUUUCUCCUGCUUGAGAGCUCCAAGGGCUG
Molecule: long non-coding RNA, 256 nt
Filed under: Ailuropoda melanoleuca (giant panda)
Lineage: Eukaryota; Metazoa; Chordata; Mammalia; Carnivora; Ursidae
Description: lncRNA (ENSAMEG00000026743.1)
Source: RNAcentral